UCAUAUGAUGAUUAAAACGAAAACAAAAGCUGGAAUUACUGGCUGAACGCAUAUGUGUUGAAACGUUUUUGCACUACUUCUGAUU
RNAcentral lists this small nucleolar RNA (85 nucleotides) under Zygosaccharomyces rouxii. The record is from RNAcentral. Lineage: Eukaryota; Fungi; Ascomycota; Saccharomycetes; Saccharomycetales; Saccharomycetaceae.